This 513-nucleotide ribosomal RNA is filed under the name uncultured bacterium. Its description in RNAcentral is "partial 16S ribosomal RNA". It matches the Rfam family "Bacterial small subunit ribosomal RNA", at positions 28 to 523 of the family's 1533-position model. The record is from RNAcentral.
GAUGAACGCUGGCGGCGUGCCUAAUACAUGCAAGUCGAGCGAACAGACGAGGAGCUUGCUCCUCUGACGUUAGCGGUGGACGGGUGAGUAACACGUGGAUAACCUACCUAUAAGACUGGGAUAACUUCGGGAAACCGGAGCUAAUACCGGAUAACAUGUUGAACCGCAUGGUUCAACAGUGAAAGACGGUCUUGCUGUCACUUAUAGAUGGAUCCGCGCCGCAUUAGCUAGUUGGUAAGGUAACGGCUUACCAAAGCAACGAUGCGUAGCCGGCCUGAGAGGGUGCUCGGCCACACGGGAACGGAGACACGGUGCAGAAUCCUACGGGAGGCAGCAGUAGGGAAUCUUCCGCAAUGGGCGAAAGCCUGACGGAGCAACGCCGCGUGAGUGAAGAAGGUCUUCGGAUCGUAAAACUCUGUUAUUAGGGAAGAACAAAUGUGUAAGUAACUAUGCACGUCUUGACGGUACCUAAUCAGAAAGCCACGGCUAACUACGUGCCAGCCGCCGCCGUAA